This is a long non-coding RNA of Chelonia mydas (Green sea turtle), 132 nucleotides long. RefSeq lists it as uncharacterized. Lineage: Eukaryota; Metazoa; Chordata; Testudines; Cheloniidae. The record is from RefSeq and is a predicted model, not a curated record. The transcript has 3 exons.
CUUUCUCCGCACUAUUGAUGAUUUUAGACCUCUAUCAUAUACCCCCUUAGUCAUCUCUUUUCUAAAUUGAACAGUCCAAGUCUUUUAAAUCUCUCCUUAUAUGGAAGUGUUUCAUACCUUUAAUCAUGUUUU